Molecule: long non-coding RNA, 2079 nt
Organism: Herpailurus yagouaroundi (jaguarundi)
Lineage: Eukaryota; Metazoa; Chordata; Mammalia; Carnivora; Felidae
Exons: 3
Source: RefSeq, a predicted model, not a curated record
GGUGGACUCUUAACCAACUGAGGUACCCACGUGCCCCAUGGAGGAACAAGUCAGUCAGGAAGCCCCGCUGCAGCCAUGGCUUUUAAAGACGUCCAGAAGACAUCAUGGAACCAGAGGUGGGGAUUCACCAGUGAAAAUUACUCUAACCAGCCACAACAUAAAAUCUUUAGAGAAGGUAUGUACUGACUUGAUCAGAGGUGCAAAAGGAAAGAAUCUAAAGGGAAAGAACAAGUUCAAAUGUCCACCAAGCCUCUGAGAAUCACCACAAGAAAAACUCAUGCAGAAGCCAGGCCUGUGGCAACCCUCACAGUGUGCCUAGCCAAGACACCACCAGAUAUCAUCCAGCCCACCGUCGACACUGCCGGCCACCAACCAGACCACUGUGGCAGGGACGCACAUACCGGAUCUUCUUUCAGGGUUUGACUUCUCCAGCCUUUCCCCAACCUCCUGGCUCGCUAGCACGGAGGCAUGCUAUCAUGCCCAGGGUUUCUAAAACAGUCUCUGCCUUAAAGAAUCUACAGCUGAGGGCUGUAGAAAUCCACACGGGGGUAAGCCUAGUAUGAUCUGGAGUUGCCAGGCAGAGUUCCGGGGAGGGGCCUCCGGUGGAUUUUAUGGGCGGAGUGGUCCUCAGGAGAGAAAGGCGGACACGUGCGCAUGCGUGAAGGACAAACACGCUGCGUACAAUCCUGCGCAGUGAGCAAUCUGGAGACUACACGAGACAGGGGCGAAGGCGCGGGCAGGAUGGGGAGAAGGACAAAUAGGAAACAGGGGUUUAGAUGUGUGUAGCACAGUUGCUACCAGUCUUGGGUCCAAUACAACACGUGCAUCCACGUGUGUGACGCCCUGUGGGCAGUACAGGGUGAUCACCACCUCCAGCUGGGACAUCUCGUCUAUAUCUCGCACUCCAGAGGGCACCUGCCAGGUACAGGCAAAUUCAUCCCGCUGUGGCUGAGCUGAGGUCUGGCAAAAAAGCUCUCUGACACAAGAAUGUUACACAAGAUAAGGCUGUGAUAAGGACAAAGGAUACAUUUCCGCAGCAGAUAACAGGAGAAAUUCAGUGAGUGUGACCUCUCAGGUCUCUUUGUCUACACCCAAGAGACAGGCUUAGCAGCAGGCAGAGUGAAUGCCUUUCCAGGGGAGGGCUUGGGAAGUAGCCCACCCCACCGACCUUUGCCUGGGUCACUCUUACCCAUUCCUUGGUUCUCAGCUCAAGUGUCAUUUCUUUGGGGAAGCUUCCCUGACCCCUCCUAUAUCAGAUUCUCUGUAUUUCCCUUUGUCAAGUGCAUCACAGCUUAUAUAUUAAUGCAUUUGGGUGACAGUUUGUCUUUACUACUGUAGAUUCAAUCAGCAAAUACUAAUUUUUGCCACAAAAAUUUUGCCACAAACUGUUAAAUUCAGAGAAUACCGUGAGACAUGGACGAGCCCUCAUGAAGCUUAUAGGUUAAGCAUAAAUAUCAGCUGAUAGCUAAGUAGGGGUCCACCCCAACUCCAGAGGUAAGACUCCUCGCAGCCCCAGAAGAACAAUGGGACAGCUCAGGCCCAUUCAACUCCUGGCCUCAAGCCACCCCAGAAGGGCCUCCAGGUGUGGGUGUGCAGGACCCAAGCUGCCUAAACUCCUCCUUCCCAAUGGAGGCAUUCCUUCCUCCAGCUGCUGUGAGCAUUGGCUGUUAAGAGCUGGAGUCCCUCUCCAGGACUUGACCUCAGCCAAAGAGAGGCACGUCAUUACCCAGAGUGAUGUCUGACCUGAUGUCUGGUCAUUUGAAAUGACAAAGGCCUGCACCCCCAUCCUUGCCUCAAUGCAGGACAUUUUUGAAGAAUCAUCCCAGCUUCAGAGCUUCCCAUGGGGCUGCUGAGUGAUGUCUGCCCAGUCCUACCUCCCUCCACUUAAGCGGUUGUUCCUGAGAACACUCCCCAAUAAGACUAGUAUACACAAAUCUUGAGUCUCAUAGUUUGCUCCUGGGGAACCUGAAAUCCACCCCAGUGUGUGAUUGCAUCUGUCUGGAAGAAAGGCUCCUGUUUCUAAUCUGCAUGUAGUUGUCCUUUUAUGACUUAGCAGUAGCCAGGUCCACCCCCCCCCCA